Molecule: non-coding RNA, 108 nt
Organism: Aspergillus carlsbadensis
Lineage: Eukaryota; Fungi; Ascomycota; Eurotiomycetes; Eurotiales; Aspergillaceae
Source: the annotation of a GenBank genome assembly
GGCCGGGUGGCCUAAUGGUAAGGCGUUUGAUUUCGGCGGUGAGAAUUUCCCGCAAGGGAGAACACCUCGGGUCUCAAAAGAUUGCGUGUUCGAGUCGCGCCUCGGUCG